Molecule: ribosomal RNA, 113 nt
Filed under: Rhizopogon sp. culture 361
Lineage: Eukaryota; Fungi; Basidiomycota; Agaricomycetes; Boletales; Rhizopogonaceae
Description: partial 5.8S ribosomal RNA
Rfam family: 5.8S ribosomal RNA
About the family: 5.8S ribosomal RNA (5.8S rRNA) is a component of the large subunit of the eukaryotic ribosome. It is transcribed by RNA polymerase I as part of the 45S precursor that also contains 18S and 28S rRNA.
Source: RNAcentral
CGCAGCGAAAAGCGAUAUGUAAUGUGANUUGCAGAUCUACAGUGAAUCAUCGAAUCUUUGAACGCACCUUGCGCUCCUCGGUGUUCCGAGGAGCAUGCCUGUUUGAGUGUCAG